Long non-coding RNA from Oncorhynchus masou masou (cherry salmon), 2775 nucleotides. RefSeq lists it as uncharacterized. The transcript is spliced from 3 exons. NCBI's taxonomy places the organism in Eukaryota, Metazoa, Chordata, Actinopteri, Salmoniformes, Salmonidae. The record is from RefSeq and is a predicted model, not a curated record.
UGACGCGUGGGUCUUGACGGCUGCACCCUCGGUUUUGUUUAUCCUUGGGGUAGGUCAAAUUUACGGGAUUUUCCGAUUUUUCGCUGCUGUACAGUAUGGCCACAGAUGGAACAAGGAGCUAGUUAUACAAAUAUUUGCCACGGUGCUUCAAAAGUAAUUAUCCGGUAAAAAAAAAAAAAAAAUACAAACAUCAGUAGCUAAUGAGGAAUUGAUUUCGGAAGAAGUUCCUGACUGCAAUGUGCAGUUCGGGGCUGGGCUCAAUGUGGGCGGAGUCAAACGUCGGGGCUGGGCUCAAUGUGGGUGGAGUCAAACACGUUAAACGCGAACCCUUCCCGUCCCCUUCAAGAUCAUCCAAGUUGAGGUAAACGUCAACGAAUCUUAAUCGAACCUAACCUACAUGGAUAAAAAUACAAACCAUGGAUGGCCUACCAAAGCAAGGUUUCUCAAACAACUGUGGGGUGUUUGUUUUGAUGACGAUACUGAAAACAAAAUGCACGGUGAACUGGGAGCUAUGAACUGGGUAUGUAGUCUGUGUGUAGACUACAUACCCAACACCAACGUUUAAAGGAACCGUUCCCCUCCCUAGUGUAAUUGGGAUAGACGGAAGACUGCAUUACAACCCUUAAAGAACUACAGUUAUAUGAUGGCCUGGGUGAAGAGGAAAAUAUUAUCCUCAAGGAACCAUUCCUGUUACAGAGAGAUUGAGAUGUUCUAUGUGGAGGCAUUUGACAACAGGAAAAUUACUGUCUUUGCCUCUUGAGGAGCAGGAGUGAAGCCAUUUUUGAGGGUUCAAACCUUGUUUUUGUCUGCUGUGUUAAUUGUGUUAUGUUUAGUGAAGAUGCCAUACAAGUCACCUGAGUCGCUCUCUCUUUACUGGAGCUGGUAUAACUUAAUGUACAAAGCACAUUCAGCUUGUCAUAUGUUUAUAUGAUAUAGUCUGUCUCCAUUCUCAUGAGGAAAGUAAAUGGCAUAACUCAGGAUAGGUAGUAACUGUAUAUUUAUGCUCAAUAAAAUAAUAUAGUUAUAACAUUCAACACAAUUUUAACAGUACAUACCACGAAUAACAAGUAUAUUGUUCACUGCAUCAUCAGUAGCGUGCUCAAACUGAACCCGGCCCAAAUUGCACACUGCAGUCAGAGGUACUUGAAUUUCGGCGUGUUAUCCAGUAAAAAAAUAUAUAUACAAAAGUCAGUAGCUAAUGAGGAGUUGAUUUCGGCGGGGUUUGUUGCUGAUAGCUAGCACUGGGACAAGCAGUAACAUAUUGCAGUAGUCAGACACGACAUGAAGCACCAAUAUCGUUGGAUUCUUGAUUUGUUUUUGCACUGAUGUUACACAAAUGUUUCAGAACAGUCGGCCAUUUGAAUGCUACUGUUAUAUAUCUAACAUGAGCUGGCAGGGGUUGAAAUCUAACUAGCUAACGUUACAUCCCAUCCAACCUGUAGUCUGAUGUGUUUGGUUAGCCCGCUAGCUAAUAUAGCCAAUGUUAGGACUCUAGCUAGCGACGAUGCUAACCGUUUAGCUAGCAAUUAAACAUUUGGAUAGCUGGCAUCAAACAUAUAGGGUCACGUUAGUUACAGUUUGGUGAGAGUUUAUUACAUUAUUCAACAUAUUGCUAGAUUUUUAUUUAACUAGGCAAGUCAGUUAAAACCAAAUUCUUAACGGCCGAGGAACAGUGUGUUUACUGCCUUGUUCAGGGGCAGAACGACAGAUUUUUACCUUGUCAACUCGGGGAUUCGAUCUUGCAGCCUUUCAGUUAAUUGGCCAAUGCUCUACCCACUAGGAUACCCGGAUAGACAAAUUACUUUAUACUAUUUCUAGUUAACAACAUCAGCGAAGCUAGUAACACAGUCACAUGGGCUAGCAGGAUGACAUCAUUAAUAUUCUGGAGGAAGUGGAAAUGCUGAUUUGAAAGUGCGAGGCUUCAGAUACAGUUGAUAAGCUGUCACGACGUGCGCGCGGCUGCUCCUCUUCUCCUCUCAUUUAGGUGACUCCGCUUCCAUCCGGAACUCUCAUGUUAUUUAGAGGUGUAGCCAGACCUCACCUUGACCUACCCUCGCUUAAUCUAGUUGACUCUCCAAUAGGGAAAAUAUGUUUCUCCUUGCUCCGUCAGAACAACAUAUCUAUACGUGCUUUAUUUCAAAGGGAUAUUGUAUCCAUUCCUUAUGUCACAAGUUACUGGAAUACAUUGGUCACUAAUAUCUGUUGGAAAAAAGUCUGGUUAUUACCACACAAAUACUUGCUUGUUAGGAAGGCCAACGAGGUCUCUUUCAGAAUGAACCAUAAGUAUUACCCUGCGAAUCAUUACCUGAAGAAACUCAAAAAGGACAUUAACAUUGAUUGUAUUUUUUUGUGUUGAGCAUCCAGAAACGGUUUCGCAUUUAUUUUGGCAUUGUCUACAUGUAAAACAAUUAUGUAAAGAUAUGCACAGUUUUAGAAUUGUUAAUAUUCUUGAUUACUUUUGUUUGUUAUGGGAGAAUGUGCUGCUCGGUUCCCUUAACCGUGAUAAAGAAAAACUAUUUUACUUCAUAAAUCUAAUUGUGCUAGUGGCAAAAUGUCUUAAAACACUCUUCCGUGUUUUCUAUAAGGAAUUUGAGCAGUGCAUUAAGACCAUUCUACAUUCUUCUAAUAAGAAAGCUGUUAAAACAAUCAAUGUGUGUUUCUUUUAAGGUCUUUGUAUAAUUUGUUGUACCCCCUAGCAUAUGUUAUCAUUGUCUAUGUACUUAUUGUAUGUAUACAGACUUUUCUACAUUGGUAAUAAAAAAAUAAUACUAAUAA